GAUGAACGCUAGCUACAGGCUUAACACAUGCAAGUCGAGGGGCAGCACAGUGUAGCAAUACAUGGGUGGCGACCGGCGCACGGGUGCGUAACGCGUAUCCAACCUUCCCGAUACUCAGGGAUAGCCUUCCGAAAGGGAGAUUAAUACCUGAUGGUGUUUUAAUUCCGCAUGUUAAUGAAACUAAAGAUUUAUCGGUAUCGGAUGGGGAUGCGUGACAUUAGAUAGUAGGCGGGGUAACGGCCCACCUAGUCUACGAUGUCUAGGGGUUCUGAGAGGAAGGUCCCCCACACUGGAACUGAGACACGGCCCAGACUCCUACGGGAGGCAGCAGUGGGGAAUAUUGGGCAAUGGGGGAAACCCUGACCCAGCAACGCCGCGUGAAGGAGAAGGCCUUCGGGUUGUAAACUUCUUUUAGCAGGGACGAAGGACGUGACGGUACCUGCAGAAAAAGCAACGGCUAACUACGUG
RNAcentral lists this ribosomal RNA (468 nucleotides) under uncultured bacterium. RNAcentral's name for it is "bacterial SSU rRNA". It matches the Rfam family "Bacterial small subunit ribosomal RNA", at positions 28 to 507 of the family's 1533-position model. The record is from RNAcentral.